UAAUGCAAAAUAAACCGCGUUAUAUUUAUUAAUAAAUAAAUAAAUCCUAAUUAAGCCAGCAAUAUUAAAGCUGAUUGUAUGUUAAAUCGUCACUGUGUGAUGAAGAUAUAGUGUGUUGUGGAGUUUGAGUUUUUAUUUUAUGAACAAAUACACAGACUAAUAAUCAUAAUCAGUAAUACAAAAUGACUGAUAUAAAAAUGGUGCAGUUUAAGUGUAAAAAUUUUUUUUCAACAAUGCAUAUCAUAAAAAUAUUUUCAGGUCAUCCAGUGUAUGUUCAGAUCUUGCACUUCCCAUGAUGGCUGACAGACGCGUCUUGUGUGGUUGUAGUAUACAUUUACUUCCGGUAUGAGGGUCGUUUAAAAGUGGGCGGGUACAGUAUAGACUGUACUGUAAAGUGGACGUAAGCGUCAUGAGAGUGUCGUCAUAGCUACGCAAAAGCUCGACACAGCAAGUCCCGUUCCACAGGGAGAAUAUUUCUCGGCUUGCGCGCGCGGCUGUCUUGUUGUUGUUUUUUCCCGCAGAAAUGAGAUGAAUGAGAGAUGCCGCUCUUUGGGUGACUUUUCAAGCAAUUUCAUUAAUCGCCGCGUUUUUCGGAAGAGCGUGAAUAAGUCCGGUCUGUAGAUGUUCCGUCGAGCUGAUUCGGAGUGUGUAACGGUGUUAACGGGACGCCUCUGGCUCCACCGCACACUCAGCGCGUGCUAGAGCGUUUCGAGGCUUCUCUGUGCACCUCUCUUGUCCCCGCCACCCCGGUGCCGAGCACGCGCGUGUGCGAGAGCGAUGAUGUUGCCGUGUUUGCGCAGAGUUCUGCGGCCGGCUCUCGCGCUCCGCCCGUCGUUUGCGCCCGUUUCUCACCUGGGCACGCACGCGCGCAAGGAGCCCAUUGAUCCGCUGAGCUCGCCGCAGGGUGCGCGAGACUUCAUCUACGGCCUCCAUCCCGCCGAGCGCACGUGCCUGAUGCGGGAACUGCACCGGUUCGAAUCCAUCGCCAUCGCGCAGGAGCAAUUGGAAAUGGCUCCUCCAACCACAGCUCAGCUGAGAUAUGUUUUGCUUCACAACGCUAUUCCCUUUAUCGGCUUCGGCUUCCUGGACAACGCCAUUAUGAUUGCUGCAGGCACGCAGAUUGAGCUGUCUAUAGGAGUAAUCCUGGGCAUUUCAACUAUGGCAGCUGCUGCUCUCGGUAACUUGGUGUCUGACCUGGCAGGACUCGGUCUUGCAGGCUACGUGGAAGCUCUGGCUUGUAGACUUGGCAUGCAAAUUCCAGAUCUGAGUCCUAAACAGGCUGACAUGUGGCAGACUCGAGUCAGCUCUCACAUGGGCAAAGCCAUCGGAGUGGGAAUCGGGUGCAUCCUGGGAAUGUUUCCUCUCCUGUUCUACAAAGACGACGAGGACAAGAAAAAGGGCACAGCUGAGGAUCCGCCUCCGUCUCCUCCUGACUCCGCCCCCAAGAACGCAUGAUAAAGAAUUAAACGCCUCCUCGACGCCCUGUAAAUGAGUGACUGUUCGAACCAUUUCUUCAAAAUGUGGAGGAUUUUUUUUUUGCUCUUACGAUGUUGCUGAUGGGCCGAAAUUAAGCUGAACUUCAAAUCCUGAGUUAACAUCAUGUUAACUUCAUGCCACAGGAGUGAAAUCACUGAUUUUUGCUCCUGUAAAUUUUGAAUUCUUUUAUUUAUUUAAUGAGGAGUUUGUGGGACAAACAUUAUCUACUACUAGAUUAUCAUCUUUGUGCUUUAUAGACACUAAGAAAGUUAGACUUUAAUGUUGUUUGGUUAAAUGUUUUUUAUUUGUGAAUCAGUUUAAUGCUGUUUAGAUUUAGGAAAAGAAGUGAUAUGCCAUUAUUUCUCCUCUGGGCUCCGAAGGGCCAGCAAUGAAGACUAAAAGAGAAGGAAAUAUGCAGAAUGUAAGAAUCUGAACAAACGCCACGUUUUCUUCUGUUUUAAGCCAACGCACAAAAAAUAACACACACCCAUGUGCAUUAAGCUAGCACAUCCUGAUUUAGUCAUAUGAUAGUCCUGGGGGUUGACUAGGGCAGGGCUUAAGGCAAUUGUGAAUAUAAUCAGUUUGAUUUAGUUCUAGAUAUAAAAGACUGUUCUAUACAAUACAGUAUAUAUGUUAAAACAAGCAAAGACUGUGGAUAAUAAGUAUAAAUGUAAAAACAAUUCAACAGAUACAGUUAAGAUAUGCUUUCAAUAUUUUAAACCACUUUGUAGUUUAAAAAAAGAGUGCUUGCCAGAUGUGCUAAAUGAACUAAUUAGCAUUGUUAGCCUUAGCUAACUAUUAGCCAACUGUUAGCAUUGUUUUGGAGCUAGUGAAUCCACAAAGCAAUCUGCACUAGCUAAUGUAAAAUUAUUGCACUGUUAUUGAUAUUUAUAUGAUCGAGCGUGGUACACUUUUACCUUGAAACUGCUUCAACUGAAUCAAAAUUCAGCUAAAGCUCUGCCCUCCUCCGCCAGCUUAACAGAAUCGGGAUAUCUUUUAUAUGCACAUCUCAUAGACACUACAUGUUACUAUUCAGACCUCAGGCAUGCUUCUGUGUUAUUAUGUGCCUUAAUGCAGAGGCAUUGUGAAAAUAAUAUUUAUUUAUCUGGACAUGUCCCAACAUCGGCAUGAUACAUUUGUCGUUAGCGCAACCACAAGCUACAAAAAUAAAUAUAUCCGUAAAGCUCACGCUACAAAGAUAUGGUUAGACUAAUUUUUUUUUUUUUUGGUUAACAUUUUUAAUCUUGUAAGCUAUUUAGCAAACGUGUUAAUAGUUAACAGAUUUUGAUUUUAGUAGGAAGCUAGCAAAAUUAUACUAGAAAGCAUUUUUUUAUUUUUUUUUUAAAAACACCAUUUCUUAAAUUCAGAAAUUACAAAUCACAAAAAGUAAAUAUUUGUUUCAUUAUUUAAAUUCAUUAUUUAAACUAAUUAAUUCAUAUUAUUAAAUGCAAAUUGCAUUCAGUUAUCAUGUGACCAAGUUCAAAAAAUAUUCAUCAUUUUUCCUGGAUGUUUUGAACAUUUUUCUCACACUGCACAGUGUUUGCGCAUACUUGUUUAAUCUGCAUGUGACUACUUUAUUGAUUUGGUCAUGAAACACUAAUAUUUUGUAUUCAAAGCAUAAACAAUGAUUUAAAGUGAUCAAAACUCGAAGUUGUGAUGUCGGGUGCCGUAACCAUGGCAAUGCCACAUCCCUACAUCAGAGAUAGAAUGAAGGUGCAUGGAAUCUUACUGACCUCAGUGGCUUUACAUUUACGCUUGGGAAUAAAGAAGGAAGCAGAGAGAGAGAGAGUGUGUGUGACAGAAUUGGAGGUUGAAUGAAGCCAUUCUGAAAUAUGUACAUACAGUUCGUGUGUAUGAGAGAGUUGUGUUUAUUAAAGAUUUAACUAGAAUUCCUUAGCUUGUAGUGACUAUGCAUUAAUGGUAGAAAAAAAACAACACAGAAUGUUUUUAUACCUGCAUGCUGAAUUAUUUAUUAAACUUCUUAAAGAUUGAAAUGUUUGUUUAAUUGUUUUUGAAUUACUUCAUCUGUUUGUUUGUUGGUUUUUUUUUGGUUGCUUAUUAAGGUGAACUUCAGAUGCUUGUUUCCAUUUGAGCUUGAGCCUUUAGGACAAUAUUCAAAAUACAUUUGGCUGUAAAAACAAGACAACAUAUCCCCAAAGCACAGCAUACCAAAGGUAAAGAAUGGUGGUGGCAGCUUCAUGCUGCGAGGCUGCUUCUCUGCUAGGACUACAGCAUCUGACAAAAUGUUUCUCUUCCCAAUGUAAUUCCAGGAUUUUCUUUAAUUUCUAAGAAAUUCAUAAUUAAAAAAGGAAUUUAUUCAAUAUAAACAUUUUUUUUAUUAUUUAUAUUGGUUGCCCUCACCUCACCUCCAGUACUAUAAAUUAAUUUAAGUUUUAUUCAUAACACUUUUGUAAUAAAUCUGAGAAUCAAAUAAAAGCUGAAAAAUAAGA
Molecule: RNA transcript, 3926 nt
Organism: Silurus meridionalis
Lineage: Eukaryota; Metazoa; Chordata; Actinopteri; Siluriformes; Siluridae
Gene name: transmembrane protein 65-like
Exons: 8
Source: RefSeq, a predicted model, not a curated record